GAAAGAUGAGAGAAAAUCGGCUCCGGUGAUUUGGACAUGUGCAAAGAAGGCCGACUGACGCUCCGGUUCGAAGAUGUGAUUACGGGACAGAGGUUCAGGGCCGAAGGGGUAGAGGAAGACCUAGGAAAACUUUGGAAGAGACUCUAAGAAAAGACUUAGAGUACUUGGAUCUAACGGAGGACAUGACACAAAACCGAGCGCAAUGGCGUUCUAGGAUUCAUAUAGCCCACCCCACUUAGUGGGAAAAGGCUUUGUUGUUGUUGUUGUUGUUGUUGAGAAUAGAUACUGUGGAAGACCUAGGAAAACUUUGGAAGAGACCCUAAGAAAAGACUUGAGUACUUGGAUCUAACGGAGGACAUGACACAAAACCGAGCGCAAUGGCAUUCUAGGAUUCAUAUAGCCGACCCCACUUAGUGGGAAAAGGCUUUGUUGUUGUUGUUGUUGUUGUUGAGAAUAGAUACUGUAGAAUUGUUUUCUAUCUUUGGACAUAACAGGUUAGGAAGAAUACAUCAAAUGAAUUGAUAGCAGAGAAUGAUAAUAAUAGCUUUUCUUGUUCCUUCUGUGCUCUAGUUGAUUUAUGUUUUAACUUUGUGAUAUUAUGUUCACUCAAUUUAUAGGUGGAAAAGAGGAGGCUGUUUCAUGUUUUUCUUAAGCAGUUUCUGGUUGUAUUCAAGAAUUGGGAACCAGUAAAUACAGGCCAAAUGUCAGAGGCUUCUUCAAGUACCAUUCAAUAUACAGAAUAUUCAUCACAUUCGGAUGAUGUAGUUAUUGGCUGCUUUGCUGGACAUCCUGCAGAAGUCAUUUUAGUAUUGACUGAAGAGAUUACACAAUUAACUUCUAUGGUUGCUGAGUGUAAGUUGAAAUUCAUGCUUGCUUUUUAGCAAUUGGCAAUUUACUUUGGUGUGCUGUAUUAAAUUUUUUUGCAAAACAUAUUUUCUUUUAUUUUUAUGAGAUAUUUUUGGCCAUAUGCUUGAUACCACUAUAAGCCAAAUGUUAGCAGCCCGAUAUUGGAAGUUUUAUUAUUUAAAUUAAUUUAUAUAUUUUACCUUGUAUGUGAAGAUAAACAUUCUCUACUUGAGUUGAGUAAGAAUGGGAAUUGGCUUUAUAGCUUCCAAUCUUCUUUCCAGCCAAAAUGCAGGCAGUUAGUUAUUGAUACAUUUCUGUAAGUUAAUGAGUAUGCCUGGCAGUUGAUAAACUGCAAGAUCCUAACUAAACUCAAACUCACACAACAAAAGAAUGAAUUACUUCUUUUUCUUAUUAUUUAAAAAAGAAAAGAAAAGAAGCAAGAUCCUUCCUUUAGAUCAAUUUCUGUAAGUUAAUGAGUAUGCCUGGCAGUCGAUAAACUGCAAGAUCCUAACUAAACACAAGCUCACACAACAACAAUAAUAAAAAAAAAACAUAGAAGGAAGGAUCUUGCUUUUGUUUUCUUAAAUAAUAAGAAAAAGAAGUAAUUCAUUCUUUUUUCAUAUAUAACAAAGUUGAUUAUACUUGUGCUAAUCAGCAUGGUAACUGCACAUUAUUCAUUGGACUUCAUCAUUGCCAUCUAAAUUGUAUCUUGUUCCUUCUCUUUUUUCACUUUUGGAAGGCUUUUGGUGAACUCUUUUCAGGAUUGUGGUCAUGGUACUAUACAUUGAUAUUUUAGCGCUUUUUGUUUGGUUAAAUAGUUCCUUAUGGCCCUUUUGCCCCUCCCAUAUUAUUUAGUUAUGAUCUUCGUUCCUUCAAAUUGGGUUUUCUUGCAUAAUUUAUGGUUACUUUGUUUCUCCCAUGGUUAAUACAGUAAAUACCAGUAUAGUGCGAUUGUCAGCAGACUUCUCUGGCCAUUCCGCAACCUUAAAUAUCAUUUCGGAAGGAAUGCCACUCCUGGAUGCUCUUAUGAUUGUUACUCGCUCAUUACAUAAUUGCAGAGUUUUUGGAUACUACAGUGGGAUUCAAAAGCUAACGGCAUUAAUGAAAGGUAUUAGUAGUAUUACUCUCCUAGUGUAAUUUCUUUUUAUGAUGAGACAUUGUGAACUGGUGUUCAAAUAAUUUGAAUUGUUGCAAUUGUUAAACUUAUUUAAAAUCCACACGCCCCCAAUUGAUUGAAGAUUUCUUUUGCUUAUAAAACUAUAGGUUUUUAUAAUUGUUAUUUCAACCCCAAUCCACCUAAAUGAUUGAAAAUAACCCAUUCAAAUGACUAAAAUUGGAUUGGAUUUAUAAUUCGGCUGGUUUUUCAUUUGAUUGUGCAUAUAUUUUGAUUGGUUUAAAUGUGUGUGAUGCUGUAACAUAUGUUAUUAGGACCCUAUCCACCAAAUUUGUUGAUUUCUAUUUAAGUUUUAAUUGAUCUUGCAAAACAUUGCUAAUUUUACAUUGUGUUUUUUGUUAUUUUAGGGGCUGUUGUCCAGCUUAAAACAAUAAGCGGUGCACUUUCAGCUGAUGAAAAGUCAUCUAAUUCUACUAUGGAGUGGACUGGACUCUUGCAACAAAUACUUGUAUAUGUGGUGUCAAUAAUAUAUAGUUUCAUUGAUUUAAAUUCAAAUGUAUAUGAGAGAGGUCAGUUGUGCAGUAAUACUAUAGGUUUUGUUUCAAGGGGUUGUGCAUCACCAGUUGGCUCUUCUGGUAAGGUUCCUUCCAGUGAAAUAAGGUUACGAUGGCAUCAGAGGGCAGUUGUGUCUGUGAUGGAAGCUGGUGGACUUAAUUGGUUAGUAGGUAAGGUAGGCAAUUUUGUUUUUACUUGUUCUCUUAUCUUUCUUUUGGAUAGGAAAUUUUUAUUUAUAACUUAUAGUACAUCAUAUCUCGACUUGGUAAUACACAGUGAAAACUUGAGCCCCACUCUUAGAAACAAUAUGCUACAGUCUGGAGUCUGGACAUCUUCCAUAUAUGAUUUGGUUAUUUUGUAAAAAAAAUUUCAUUACUCUUCUUUACAUCAACUUUUCCUAGAGAGAAUUUAAUCUUAUCUUGAUGACCUGUUUUUUCUUUCUUCUUGUAAGUGUAUUUUUUUUAUGAUUAAAUACAUCAAAAGUGCUGAGUGUGUGCAUGUCCUUGCCAUUUGUUGUAAAGAUUCUUUCUAUUUUGUGUGCCUUCUUAAUUUCCAUAAUGUGUCUGUCUGUCUGUAUUUACAUUUGUAAACUUCUUAGAUGACCAAUGACUACUGUAUUUAUAAUCCACAGUUAGACUGAAAUAACAAAAACUUGUUAUUUGUCACAGUUCCAUCACUUCCACAAGAUUGUUUUCUCGUUUUCAUCUGUGUAUGGAUGUUAUACCUUCACUGUGUAGUUGGUCUUAGUUCCAUUAUUAUUAUUAUUUUUUUUUUUUUUGAGAAGAAUCUUAGUUCCAUUAUUUUGGAGAGAUUAUUUUCAUUCGGUCAUCUGUACAUGACACUUGAGCUUCAUUACGCAGUACAGCCUCAGAAGACGAAGGCAAUAAAUGCCUUUGGAACAAACCCACAAACCUCUGAUGAUCAAGUAAAAUCUGACCAUCAGAUUCCUUCACCUGGUCAAGCUUCCUCUUCAUUUUUGUAGCAUGGUCAUGUGCGAGUCUGUGCAACUGUUUAUUCUUAUGCUUGAGCCCUCUAAUCUCCUGCUUGAGACUCAUCACUUCAGCCGCCAAUGAUUCAACUUGGCGGGUUCGAGCAAAUAGGCGUUGGGCCAUAUUUAACACAGAACCUGCACACUGAACACUGAGAGCCAGAGAAUCCUUAACAGCCAACUCAUCAGACCGUUUGGAAAGAAGUAUGUUAUCUUUGGGAGUGAGAAUGUUCCUGGCCACCACCGCAGCGGUCAUAUCAUUCUUCAUCACGGAAUCCCCAACGGUAAGAGGACCAGUAGGGGAUAAGAAGGAUGGGCGCCAUAUGUUGUCUAGAGAAGGCGCGGCUGCCUCUUCACCAAGGUUCAAGUCAAAACGACGGUCGGAAAGGCCAGACAUUUUCAAAGGUGUUGAAGAGAGAAGAGGUCGGACAAAUCAAGAUCUUAGAAGUGCAAGAAGGGAGCUUCUACUGGUGGAGAUUCAAGUGUGCUUUGGAACUUAAUGCCAACCUCUAUAAAAAUCUGCACUCGACGGAGCUUCAGAAAUCGAAGAAGCGUCUGCUCAGAAAUCGAAGAGGCGUUUGCUUUCUUAAAAGCUGGGCUGCUCAGAGACCACGAGGGUCGAUCUCAGAGAUCGAAGAGGUGUUUGCUUUCUCAAAAGCUGGGCUGCUCAAAGACCACGAGGGCCGAUCUCAAAAAUCGAAGAGUCACAUGCACACUCAGCUUUGUCAGCACCUGUCACAUGCACACUCAGCUUUGUGGAAAUUACGGGCAAUCUGUCGAAGAUUUCUGGUGAAGUAGAAAGCACGUGAAUCUUACUGUUCAAUCAUCCACUUUCCACACGCAACAUCAGCUCAUGGGUACCACAGAUAACUUUGCCAAAGAUCUCUGACAAAGUUUAGACACGUGAAGCUUGCAGCUCCCACUACAUCGCUAUGACCAAGAAAGGUAAAAGAAUAGCAAAGAAACAACACUAACAAAGUUUAGACACAUAAAUUUUGAAGGUUUAGCUACCAUAUUAGUACCCACAAGGGUAAAGGAAUAGCACCACUGCUGGAUAAUUGGAAAGUCUCUAUGUGUCAACCGUUGUGCUCCGUGGCAAGGUAGACUAGCAAAAAUGCCCAACCUUUACUCACAUUCGAGAAAACACUCCCAACAAAAUUGCUUGCUCCAAAAUCGAAGAGGCACCGCCCUCCGAAUCUCGAGAGCCAGACUCCCAACAGGAUUACUUUCUCAAAAAUCGAAGAGACACCGCUCUCCGAAUUUCAAGAGCCAGACUCCCAACAAGAUUGCUUUCUCAAAAAUCAAAGUGGCACUGUUCUCCAAAUCUCGAGAGCCAGAUCCCCGACAGGAUCGCUUGUUCGAAAACCGAAGAGGCAUCGCUUUCUCAACUUUGAGAGCCAGAUCUCCUUGGAUAAAGCUUGUCUGUAAUCUUCACACGCAACAUCAGCUUUCCAGAUACCACAGACCACUUUUUCAAAGUGCUUUGACAGAGUUAAAACACGUGAAGCUGGCAGCUCCCACUACAGUGCUAUGACCAAGAAGGGUAAAGGAAUAGCAUUACUACUUGUUAGGGAGACUCCUAUAUAUGUCGACCUCCAUCCUCAACGGACAGGCAGACUUGCAAAAAUGCUUAACCCUUCCUCAUAUCUGAGAGGGCACUCCCAACGAAGCCUCUCGAAAUACUCAGCUUUCUUUCCCCCGAUAAUACCUCUGCAAACAAGCUACACCAGAGCAAGAAUAUCUCAUAUCAUCAGGGUUAAAAGCAAGAGUAUCCCAUAUCAUGCUUUUUCCCUGUCUUUUCCUUUGGCCUUGUUCUUACCUGCAUAACAAGGAGAAAGAGAGCAAUCAGUCAGCACUUGGAAUCAAGCUUCCAGUAAGGAAUUGACUACCUGGAACCCCUUACCUAAUUACUUACCUGGCAUUGCUCUCGAGUACUCAUCUUCAACAUCUUAUGCUUCCAGAGAAGAUACCACAUCUGCCUGAGGAACAGAUAGGGCAAGUGAGAAGGAUACAAGGAAGCAUGUGGAGACAAGCGUAACAGAACACGUGUCGAUACUUCCACUACUUUGUCAACACCAAAAGUAUCCCAUAUCAGCAGGGUCGAACGUACUCUAGAUUUGAUGGACUUGUUUUGACCCUCAAAUUCUUCAGUCGGCCUUAUACUCUGGAGGUAACCAGAAAACCCUGCAGCCCAGUUCAAGAAUAAGCCUGUGGAAAGUUACUUCUUCAAAAGCAAAAGUAUCUCAUAUCAUCUCUUCUCCUUUUCUUCUCUUUAUCCUUCAUGCUGCCUACAAGAUAAGGAGAAUGAGAACAAUUAGCCGGAACUCGAAAUCAAACUUCUGAUCUGGGACUGAUUGCUUGGAGCUCUGAUUGCUUACCUUGUCUGUCACCUCUUUCAGCAGAUCCCCUAGCUCGGCGACUUGGGAGACUCCUACUACAUAGUUUGUAUCGCGCUUGACCAAGCCUGAAACUACAAGUAAGCUUUAAGUGAAAUUGAUACAUUACCUUGUGCAUCUCCACCAGUUAAAGAUACCACCCCUGGACGGAGGAAGAGUACUUCCAGAGAAGAUGCCACAUCUACCUAUGAGUCAGAUAAGGCAAGUGAAGACGAUACUACACUUCGGUACUUAGAAGUUUUAUGAUUACUCAGCGGCUUGGAUCUUGCAAGUCCCCAACCGAGGAGCUUCCCUCCAACCAGGAGGCCAAUCACAGAGCGACACGUGUCCACAUCAGAAGCCAAUCAUAGUACGACACGUGUCAACAUCGGAAGCCAAUCACAACACGACACGUGUCAAUGUCAGAACAAGGCUAGAAACUCUCUUCUAUAAAAGGAGAUCAUUCUCCCAAAAUAUUUCCUAAUGUCAUUUGUACUAAAUCAUUCACUUGUACCCACUAAAGGAGAGCUUGAACCUAUGUACUUGUGUAAACCCUUCACAAUUAAUGAGAACUCCUCUACUCCGUGGACGUAGCCAAUCUGGGUGAACCACGUACAUCUUGUGUUUGCUCUCCUGUCUCUAUCCUUUUACAUACUUAUCCACACUAAUGACCGGAGCAAUCUAGCGAAGGUCACAAACUUAAUACUUUUUGUUGUACCAAAGUCCUCACUGAUUUUGUGCAUCAACAAUCCUUAAGUCCUUACCUUUUUGCAUGGGUAAUGGAUGAGUUAACAGGACAUAUUCAAGAUGUUAUUCCUUGGUGUAUGCUUUACGCAGACGAUAUAGGGUUGAUAGAUGAAACUCAGGAAGAGGUAAAUGCGAAGCUUAACCUUUGGAGAGAAGUGUUGGAAUCUAAAGGUCUUCGCCUAAGCCGAUCAAAGACAGAAUAUAUGGAAUACAAGCAGGAUGGAUGAAGUGGAAGAGUGCAUCCGGCAUGUGUGUGACCGUCGUAUGCCACUGAAGUUCAAGGGAAAAUUUCAUAGGACGGCAAUAAGGUCGGCGAUGCUGUAUGGCACAGAAUGUUGGGCGGUGAAGCAUCAACACGUACACAAAAUGGGUGUAGCGGAGAUGAGGAUGCUUCGUUGGAGGUGUGGGCUCACGAGAAAGAAUAAGAUUAGGAAUGAGUGGGUUGGACAUGUGCAAAGAAGGCCUACUGACGCUCCAGUUCGAAGAUGUGACUACGGGACAGAGGUUCAGGGUCGAAGGGGUAGAGGAAGACCUAGGAAAACUUUGGAAGAGACCCUAAGAAAAGACUUAGAGUACUUGGAUCUAACGAAGGACAUGACACAAAACCGAGCGCA
Molecule: long non-coding RNA, 7239 nt
Filed under: Malus domestica (apple)
Lineage: Eukaryota; Viridiplantae; Streptophyta; Magnoliopsida; Rosales; Rosaceae
Description: long non-coding RNA (MDOM_LNC007721)
Source: RNAcentral